GCCCGGGUGGCGGAACAGGUAGACGCGCUGUCUUGAGGGGGCAGUGCCCUUAUGGGCGUGCUGGUUCGAUUCCAGUCCCGGGCA
Molecule: transfer RNA, 84 nt
Filed under: Bacteroidota bacterium
Lineage: Bacteria; Pseudomonadati; Bacteroidota
Description: tRNA-Leu
Rfam family: tRNA
About the family: Transfer RNA (tRNA) molecules are approximately 80 nucleotides in length. Their secondary structure includes four short double-helical elements and three loops (D, anti-codon, and T loops).
Source: RNAcentral